This is a long non-coding RNA of Ooceraea biroi (clonal raider ant), 1347 nucleotides long. RefSeq lists it as uncharacterized. The record is from RefSeq and is a predicted model, not a curated record. Lineage: Eukaryota; Metazoa; Arthropoda; Insecta; Hymenoptera; Formicidae.
GUCAAGUUGCGCAUACAAGUGUAAGUUUAACGUACAAACAAUAAUACGUAACAAUAUACGACAUGUUUCUGUGGCGAACUGUGUGAAUCUUUGUUCGUAAUUCUUUGUCAUUUUCUGCCAAAAGUGACUUUCUAUUUAAUUUUGACCUGAAGAGGACCGGAAGCCUGGCCUAAAUGUAGUUUUUCCCAAUAAAGUUUGCCAGUUUGGUCGACAAUUUAACUCUAUCCUUGGAAUAUACGUAAGAUAUUAGCUAAAUGAUUAUACUAUAGUAUUAUCUCUCCAAUACCAUUUUGCCGUGGUUUGCCAUUUACGUUUCUUCUUCUUAAGAAAAUAUUAGAGCUAAAAUGAUAAAAAAAACUUGGAGCAACAUAAGGUAAAUGUCCAAUGAUUGGACUAAUAAGAAAGCACGAUCAAAUUUACAUUUUUAUUAAUAAAUAAUUAAUGGAAGUACUAAGAAGGCUAAUGUUUAUAUGAAACUUUAGUUUUUCAGGUAUCGGAAAAUAACAGGAAAUAAAAUAAUUAAUAAAUGUAGAUUAUAAUUUUAAUGAAAUAUUAAACAAUGUCAUUUGUACCAAUAAUUGAACUGAGAAACAAGUUAUGCUCUAAUUACCGAAUAAGACAGACCCAAUAAUUGAAUGCAUAAUAAUAUUAAACAUUGCAUGUAUAUGUGCAAUUUUCAAAAAUAACUCGAAACUAUAGACACUAUAUCUUAUUCAAGGUGGUAAGAAAUUAAAUACAAAUGUGACUGUCCUUGUAAUAUUCAGAUGAAUAAUUUUUUCGGAGAUUUACAGUCAACUUAUAUCUUUUUAUAUUUUACUUCCAUAAAAAGAAAUGUCAGAUAUUCUUUUAAAUAUAUAAUUUUGUCUCAUUUACUGACAAGCAUCUUAAUAAACACAAAUGUAUUAUUAAUUAUUCAAUCAUUGGCACAUGUUCAAUUACUAGGACGUUUACCUUAAUUAACUGUUUAAUUGUAUGAAAUUUGUAUUGAAACGACACUAAUAUAAUUUUUUAUGCAAAGAAUAUAGCACAAUAUGUAACAAAAUGAAAUUUCGAAUCCUAUUCAUCGCAAUACAAAGCCAAUAGUUAUAUGCUUCCACCAGUUUCUCAUACGGUAUCUUUUAACUAAGAGAUGAACUUACGUGUUCUCAUGCCUUGCCAUAUCUUAAGCAGUUAAGAUUGUAGAAAAACUAAUUCUAACAUAUGUAUACAAGCAAAAAGAAGUUUCCUCGCGUCGAAUAAAUUACUGUGAAAUAAGAUAUUGCUGAACUAGCAAGCUGAAAACACAGUUCGUUUAUGACAUACAGAACUGUUCAUUAAGAUCAUAUUUAUUAAAUUCUGUUUGCUUAU